AGGAUAAUAGUCUAAAAACAACAUUUAACUUGCACUUAAAAAUUAUUGGAUACCCCAAUUUAUCUUA
This 67-nucleotide transfer RNA is filed under the name Sternocampsus coriaceus. RNAcentral describes it as "tRNA-Ala". Lineage: Eukaryota; Metazoa; Arthropoda; Insecta; Coleoptera; Elateridae. The record is from RNAcentral.